Molecule: long non-coding RNA, 1677 nt
Organism: Gambusia affinis (western mosquitofish)
Lineage: Eukaryota; Metazoa; Chordata; Actinopteri; Cyprinodontiformes; Poeciliidae
Exons: 3
Source: RefSeq, a predicted model, not a curated record
UGACAAAACCUUAAACUGCUGCUGCGCCACUCAGCAGGUUGUUGCUAAGUAACCAAAGAAUGAGUAAGUUGCUAGGUUACCAAAGAGUGAGUCUUUCUUAGCUUGCUUUAAGACAGUGUUUCUCAAUUCUGGUCCUCACGCCCUCCUGCCUGGCAUGCUUCAGGUGUUUCCCUGCUGCCACUCACCUGGAUGGAAUAUUGUGGUGAUUAACAGGCUUCUGCAGCACCUGAUGGUCAUGCAAUCAUUUGAAUCAGCUGCUCUGGAGUAGAGGCACAUCUAAAGCAUGCAGAGCAGGGGGGCCUGAGGACUGGAUUGGAGAAGCGCUGCCUUAAGUGGUUGAGCAACUAAAGCCUUUCCUCUGCCUACAUCUCCCAGAAGGCCGUGCGGUUCUGCACCAGGGUUCAGUUUUUCAGAUCCAAAGCUUCAGACAAGCUUCUGAGGAAGGACUUCCUUCUCGUGUUGAGGAACUUCGACAGCUGUCAGCUGCACUUCUGCACAUAAAACAAACAUUUAGCUAAAGCUAGGAUGUAUUUCCUCCUUCUGUUUCAACUCUGCGGUAAGGCAAAGCAAGAACCCCUUUCACUUUUGAACACCUGAUAGGGAUCUGUGCGUUCUACGUUCAGAAACACCCGAAACUGUACGGCUUCCUCCCCUCUGAGCGUGAAGACCACCCUGGUUUAUUUUUAGCUUUUAGCGUGGGCUAGCCCCAAUACAGUCAUGAGUCUGAAAGAGAAUCUUACUCAUUUCUCCUUAGAUCUUUCUCAGAACUACCUGAAGGAAAUGACGGGUCUUCAUGCAUGUCAUCGCUCUGCUGACCUAAAAAUAAAGGCACGUGUGUGUGUGGUGUCUGUGGGCGUGCGUGUGCGUUUGUGUGUGUCUGUGUGUGUAAACUACAAGGUUUUAAGCACAAAAGUGAGUCGUCAGGAGGAAGAGGAUUAUUUGAGUCUUUUGUUUUCAGUAAAGUGAUUUUAUCUGCAAAAGUCUACUCAUUUACAACUUCUGCAACAUUUACAACUUUUGCAGUGCAAAAACAUAAAAUUGAUUGUUUUGGAGCUUGAACUAUGUGUUAGUUUUGGGUAUAAGAAAAAAAAUUAAAGAAGAAUUAGGAUUUUUUUUAGACAAUUCAGACUUGAAAAAUGUUUCUCAUUUCUUUCAAACAAUUCUUGUUUGGUCCCUGCAAGGUUCUGACUUCACCUCUUCACUUCCUCCCUCCCAGAGAUGAACUUCCUCUUCUUGCUCAGCUUUGCUGCGGAGGGGCCGGGGCCCGGCGACCGCUGCUGAGGAAGUGCAGCGCGGGGCGGGAGGCCUUCGCCGGAGGGGGUCCCAGCAGGGAGGAGGAGCCGGAGGAGGCGGAGGGCAGCGGAGCCACGGUGGCCCUGACCCGGCUGCUGGGUCCAAGCUGGCGGUUUGGAGGCUGAAGUGAAACAACACACACAUUGUGUCCAUGUAUGCAGAGGAAACCUCAAAACCAAGAAACACAUUUUUGAUGCAUUUUACACACAUAUUUAUCUAAUUUGUAGCUGUGAAUGGUAAAGUGUUGUUGGACUGAAUUAAGCUGAGUUGAGUUUUAGAUCGUGGAUGUUAGAACCAAGUCUGUCGUAAUAAUCGAAAACAAGCUCAAUAAUUUCCAUUUGCAUGAUUUAUCAUUUUUCUACCAAAAACUGGAUGACAAAGUUG